RNAcentral lists this unclassified non-coding RNA (347 nucleotides) under soil metagenome. RNAcentral's name for it is "partial contains 5.8S ribosomal RNA, internal transcribed spacer 2, and large subunit ribosomal RNA". The stretch from base 1 to 120 matches the Rfam family "5.8S ribosomal RNA", at positions 35 to 154 of the family's 154-position model. The record is from RNAcentral.
GAUGAAGAACGUAGCGAAAUGCGAUAAGUAAUGUGAAUUGCAGAAUUCAGUGAAUCAUCGAAUCUUUGAACGCACAUUGCGCCCGCCAGUAUUCUGGCGGGCAUGCCUGUCCGAGCGUCAUUUCAACCCUCGAACCCCUCCGGGGGGUCGGCGUUGGGGAUCGGCACUUACCUGCCGGCCCCGAAAUACAGUGGCGGUCUCGCCGCAGCCUCUCCUGCGCAGUAGUUUGCACACUCGCACCGGGAGCGCGGCGCGUCCACGGCCGUAAAACAACCCAAACUUCUGAAAUGUUGACCUCGGAUCAGGUAGGAAUACCCGCUGAACUUAAGCAUAUCAAUAAGCGGAGA